UACGGAGGGUGCGAGCGUUGUCCGGAAUCACUGGGCGUAAAGGGCGCGUAGGUGGCGCGGGCAGUCAACGGUGAAAGUUCGGGGCUCAACCCUGAAUCGGCCGUCGAUACUCCCGGGCUUGAGCACUGUAGAGGCAGAUGGAAUUCCGGGUGUAGCGGUGGAAUGCGUAGAGAUCCGGAAGAACACCGGUGGCGAAGGCGGUCUGCUGGGCAGUAGCUGACACUGAGGCGCGACAGCGUGGGGAGCGAACAGG
RNAcentral lists this ribosomal RNA (253 nucleotides) under uncultured bacterium. RNAcentral's name for it is "partial 16S ribosomal RNA". It matches the Rfam family "Bacterial small subunit ribosomal RNA", at positions 524 to 776 of the family's 1533-position model. The record is from RNAcentral.